AAUGUCUCAUUUCAAGUGAAAUGAAAUCUCUUUCUUAUUGGAUGCUUAAUGGGUGUGCUUAGGUUUUUAAAUUCCAUAAAAAUAAUCCUUGUUAUAUUUUAUGAAAUAAGUCUACGUUACGCCUCAGAUAUUCUAAAUUAUCAAUGCACAGAUCAAGUAAAGAAAUGCUAAACAAUGUUAUUACGCACUUCAUGUUUUUGCGCGUAUUUAAUCAAGAAUAUACUGUUGUCACACUGUUAUGUUUUUUGGAAGACCAUGGUCACCAGGAGUAUCUUAAUUUGAAUAACCUCAUAAUGCAUACCAGUGGGUUCAAUAAAAAUAAAUACGUCUCAAACACUC
RNAcentral lists this long non-coding RNA (339 nucleotides) under Spirodela polyrhiza (greater duckweed). RNAcentral's name for it is "long non-coding RNA (SPOL_LNC002559)". Lineage: Eukaryota; Viridiplantae; Streptophyta; Magnoliopsida; Alismatales; Araceae. The record is from RNAcentral.